Molecule: ribosomal RNA, 497 nt
Filed under: uncultured bacterium
Lineage: Bacteria
Description: partial 16S ribosomal RNA
Rfam family: Bacterial small subunit ribosomal RNA
Source: RNAcentral
GAUGAACGCUGGCGGCGUGCCUAAUACAUGCAAGUCGAGCGAACAGACGAGGAGCUUGCUCCUCUGACGUUAGCGGCGGACGGGUGAGUAACACGUGGAUAACCUACCUAUAAGACUGGGAUAACUUCGGGAAACCGGAGCUAAUACCGGAUAAUAUAUUGAACCGCAUGGUUCAAUAGUGAAAGACGGUUUUGCUGUCACUUAUAGAUGGAUCCGCGCCGCAUUAGCUAGUUGGUAAGGUAACGGCUUACCAAGGCAACGAUGCGUAGCCGACCUGAGAGGGUGAUCGGCCGCACUGGAACUGAGACACGGUCCAUACUCCUACGGGAGGCAGCAGUAGGGAAUCUUCCGCAAUGGGCGAAAGCCUGACGGAGCAACGCCGCGUGAGUGAUGAAGGUCUUCGGAUCGUAAAACUCUGUUAUUAGGGAAGAACAAAUGUGUAAGUAACUAUGCACGUCUUGACGGUACCUAAUCAGAAAGCCACGGCUAACUACGUG